GUCAGAUUGGGGUCAUAACACCAUAUGAGGGUCAACGGGCAUAUAUAGUGAAUUAUAUGGCAAGAAAUGGUUCCCUAAGACAACAACUCUACAAGGAAAUCGAGGUUGCAAGUGUAGAUUCAUUUCAAGGGAGGGAGAAGGAUUAUAUUAUUUUGUCAUGUGUCAGGAGUAAUGAACAUCAGGGCAUUGGGUUCCUUAAUGAUCCACGCAGGCUUAAUGUUGCUCUUACCCGUGCUCGUUAUGGUAUUGUUAUCCUGGGAAAUCCUAAAGUCUUGAGCAAACAGCCUCUGUGGAAUGGUUUGUUAACACACUACAAGGAGCACGAGUGCUUGGUUGAAGGUCCUCUCAAUAACUUAAAGCAGAGCAUGGUUCAAUUUCAGAAGCCCAAAAAGAUCUACAAUGAGCGCAGACUCUUCUUUGGUGGUGGACCUGGAGCAGUUCAAGGUGACAGUUUCGGAUCUGCUUCAGGCCCCAGUGCUGACAGGAGAAAUAGUCGUCCUAGGGGUUCUUAUAUGGCACCUGGUGUACCCAAUGGUACUCAGAAACCUGGUGUUCAUCCUGCUGGUUAUCCGAUGCCUCGGGUUCCCUUUCCCCCUUACCAUGGAGGCCCUCCACAACCAUAUGCAAUUCCUACUCGUGGUGCUGUCCAUGGACCUGUUGGAGCUGUUCCUCAUGUUCCACAACCAGGCAGCCGGGGUUUUGGGGCUGGACGUGGCAACGCCAAUGCCCCAAUUGGUAGUCAUCUCCCUCACCAUCAAGGGUCCCAGCAGCCGGUCGGAAGUAUUGGAUCUAACUUCAACUUUCCUGCAUUAGAUAAUCCAAACAGUCAGCCUUCCAUCGGAGGACCUUUAUCUCAACCUGGAUAUGCUUCUAAUAUGGCUAUCCAGGGACCAGGCCAGUCAUUCCGCGAUGGACUUUCUAUGGGUAGCAUGUCACAGGAUUUUGUGGGAGAUGAU
This 956-nucleotide unclassified non-coding RNA is filed under the name Hevea brasiliensis (rubber tree). Lineage: Eukaryota; Viridiplantae; Streptophyta; Magnoliopsida; Malpighiales; Euphorbiaceae. The record is from RNAcentral.